RNAcentral lists this long non-coding RNA (1339 nucleotides) under Cyanistes caeruleus (blue tit). RNAcentral's name for it is "lncRNA (ENSCCEG00000001579.1)". Lineage: Eukaryota; Metazoa; Chordata; Aves; Passeriformes; Paridae. The record is from RNAcentral.
UCCUGCCCUUUUCCCUGUUUUCCUGCCCCUUUUCCCUGUUUUCCCGCCCCUUUUCCUGCCCCUUUUCCUGCCCCUUUUCCUGCCCCCUUUCCCUGUUUUCCUGCCCCUUUUCCUGCCCCUUUUCCUGCCCUUUUCCCUCUUUUCCUGCCCCUUUUUCUGCCCCUUUUCCCUGUUUUCCUGCCCCUUUUCCUGCCCCCCCCUGUUUCCUGUCUCUUUUCCUGCCCCUUUUCCUGCCCCUUUUCCCUGUUUUCCUGCCCCUUUUCCUGUCUCUUUUCCUGCCCCUUUUCCUGCCCCUUUUCCCUGUUGUCCUGCCACUUUUCCUGCCCCUUUUCUUGUCCCUUUUUCUGCCCCUUUUCCUGCCCCUUUUCCCUGUUUUCCUGCCCCUUUUCCUGUCUCUUUUCCCUGUUCUCCCUUUUCCUGCCCCUUUUCCUGCCCCUGUUCCGUUUUCCUAUCCCUUUUCUCCCUUUUCCUCUCCCUUUUCCUUGUUUUCCUGCCCCUUUUCCCUGUUCUCUCUCCUUUUCUCUCUUUUCCUCUCCCUUUCCCCCAUUUUCCUGCCCCUUUUCCUGUUUCCUCUCCCUUUUCCCUGUUUUCCUCUCCCUUCCCCCCUUUUUCUGUCACUUUUCCCGUGUUUUCCUGCCCCUUUUCCCUAUUUUUUAUUUUUUUUAGUAUAUUUUAGUAUAUUUUAUUAUAUUUGUAUUUUCAUUAUAUUUUUAUUUUUCCUUUUUUACUCUUUUCUCUCCUUUUCUCCCUUUUCCCGUGUUUUCCUGUCCUUUUUCCCUAUUUUCCUCUCCCUUUCCCCCUUUUCCUGUCCCUUUUCCUGUGUUUUCCUGUCCCUUUUCCUGUUUCCUCUCCCUUUCCCCCUUUUCCUGUCCCUUUUCCUGUUUCCUCUCCAUUUCCCCCACUUCCUCUCCCGUUUUCCCCCUUUUCCCUGAUCCCUGCCCCAUUCCAGGUUUUUGAGCCGGUGGCUCCAUUUCCCCCACUUCCUCUCCCGUUUUCCCCCUUUUCCCUGAUCCCUGCCCCAUUCCAGGUUUUUGAGCCGGUGGGGGGCUGGGACACGGGCGAUUAUCACUGCGAGGCCUCCAACAACGUGGGGACCCCCCAGAAAUCCGACGUGUUCCGCAUGGAAGCCAGUAAGGAGCGAUCCCCAUCCCAUUCCGGAUCCCAUUCCCGAUCCCAAUCCCGAUCCCAUUCCCGAUCCCAUCCCCGAUCCCAUCCCCGAUCCCAUCCCCGAUCCCAAUCCCGAUCCCAUCCCCAAUCCCAUUCCCGAUCCCAUCCAGGAUCCCAUUCCCGAUCCCAUUCCCGAUCCCAUCCCGGAUCCCAUUUCCAUUCCCGAUCCCAU